Molecule: long non-coding RNA, 207 nt
Filed under: Elaeis guineensis (African oil palm)
Lineage: Eukaryota; Viridiplantae; Streptophyta; Magnoliopsida; Arecales; Arecaceae
Description: long non-coding RNA (EGUI_LNC011713)
Source: RNAcentral
CGUGCUUUCCCUUUUAUCUUCUUCUUCUUCUCCAAAAAACUUAAAAUCCUUAAAUACUUCUCAAUUCCCACUGCCUCACCCUCCAUCGCCUCCCUCUUCCAUGCCGGCGGGCGAGUUCCUUCACGCAGUCGCCCUUGCAAUGCCUGCGCCGCCCCUGCAGUUGCUCACUCCGCCACUCGCACUGGUGACGAUGAUCAUGAUGUCCCC